This 1166-nucleotide long non-coding RNA is filed under the name Olea europaea subsp. europaea. Lineage: Eukaryota; Viridiplantae; Streptophyta; Magnoliopsida; Lamiales; Oleaceae. The record is from RNAcentral.
CUUUUUUUUUNAAUUCACACCUUAGAUUCAUCCAAAAUUCUGUGCUUCAACUCUGAAAGUGCUAUUAAUUUAUCAACCACAGCUUGACAUGGAGAUCGUACGGCCUCAUCAUUGUACGGAAAUUAGCCAUUCGUAAAGCUCCACUUUUUUUAUGGAGGUAAGCCUACCAACUUAUCAACGGAUUCUCCAGAUUUAUUGAUGCCCGAUGAUUUUAUUGAUAGCAUUAUCAACUGCUUCAUUGGCACUUCCGAGAGCAACAGUCGCGAAUGAACUGAUAGUAUCGAAAGAAUUGUUCAGAGCAUUUUCUCCUCUAUUGGUUGUAUUAGCAAUGGAUUCAUUCAAGUUCAGCAAAAAUAUCAAUAGCACUUGUUUUCAACAAAAUUAGAAUAGAAACAUUGGAAAAUUCAUCANNNNNNNNNNNNNNNNNNNNNNNNUUUCCACUAUAUACAUUCAAAAGCUACUCAUUUUUAGCUCCAUCAGCCAUUUCAACUCAGCUUCUUGAUGGAGUCGGACAAGGCUUUCCAAUACUGGUACUGCCAUAAAUUAAGACCUGCACACUGGACAUAAUCCAUCCAAGGAGAAACACCAUUCUUGAUCCAAAUCCGCACAGAUCCUCAAGCGCCAACGACUCCACUAUGUUGAAUACGCUUCUCAACCAGUCAACCAGAUAUGCUCCAACAUAAAUGGCUAAAGGCCAAAGAUCAAACAUACAAAAGUAACAGCCUAGUUGCCGUGAACCAAUCGACUAAUUAGCCUCCAUCAGAACAGAAGUCUCUUUCUUCACAUUGGGGAGGAAGGUGAUUUGGAGGAGAUGAAACCAUUUUUAAUUUCAAGUUUUUUUAUUUACAAAAUACAAAUUUUUGAUGAUGUGGCUAUAAUUUAUACAUUUUGCAUGCCACAUCAUUUUUCCAUAUACCACGAAAAUAUAUUUGUCCAUGUACACAAAUCAAAUUGGCUAUGGUGAUGGAUGAGUAAACUAAUUAAUAUUUCAAUAAGCAUUGGAUAACCAUUUAAUUUUCAAUGAACAAGUAGUAAUCAUGGAUAAAGUCUAUGGACCACUUAUUUAUUAAAAAAAGAAAAAAAAAUCAACCUUGAAGGCCCCCACCACCCCACACCCAGAGCCAGUCCUGCCAUGAGGCAAAUGAGGCUGGGGCCUCAGGCCCACA